UUUAACUCAAGAGAAGUUAGACUUUGACUUAUUGGUUAAAACUUCGUUAGCAGAAACCAUUGUUACCUCCACUGUUUAUUAAUCUUGUUUGAUUCAAAUCGACACUUUUACGUUACCUGUCGAUCUUAUCUCUUUGAAAAUACUUGCCUUUGAUGUGAUUUUAGAAAUCGAUUGGUUAACUACUCAUCAUGCUUUUCGUAAGGUUGUUAGCUUUCAUAUUCCUAAUUAACCUGUUAUGCGAAUUCAAGCAACCAAACCACUAAAGUCAAUCAUUGCCAUAUCAAGCCAUAAGUAAAUAGCCCCGAUCCUUUCGUUGUUGACUUCCUUGUGUGGAAGGCACCGAAGUCAGAC
RNAcentral lists this long non-coding RNA (351 nucleotides) under Panax ginseng (ginseng). Its description in RNAcentral is "long non-coding RNA (PGIN_LNC017620)". The record is from RNAcentral. Lineage: Eukaryota; Viridiplantae; Streptophyta; Magnoliopsida; Apiales; Araliaceae.